This 426-nucleotide ribosomal RNA is filed under the name uncultured Gammaproteobacteria bacterium. RNAcentral describes it as "bacterial SSU rRNA". It matches the Rfam family "Bacterial small subunit ribosomal RNA", at positions 356 to 774 of the family's 1533-position model. The record is from RNAcentral. Lineage: Bacteria; Pseudomonadati; Pseudomonadota; Gammaproteobacteria.
GGGGAAUAUUGGACAAUGGGCGCAAGCCUGAUCCAGCCAUGCCGCGUGGGUGAAGAAGGCCUUCGGGUUGUAAAGCCCUUUUGUUGGGAAAGAAAAGCAGCCGGCCAAUACCCGGUUGUUCUGACGGUACCCAAAGAAUAAGCACCGGCUAACUCUGUGCCAGCAGCCGCGGUAAUACAGAGGGUGCGAGCGUUAAUCGGAUUUACUGGGCGUAAAGCGUGCGUAGGCGGCUUUUUAAGUCGGAUGUGAAAUCCCCGAGCUUAACUUGGGAAUUGCAUUCGAUACUGGGAAGCUAGAGUAUGGGAGAGGAUGGUAGAAUUCCAGGUGUAGCGGUGAAAUGCGUAGAGAUCUGGAGGAAUACCGAUGGCGAAGGCGGCCCCCUGGACGAAGACUGACGCUCAGGUGCGAAAGCGUGGGGAGCAAACA